Molecule: ribosomal RNA, 383 nt
Filed under: uncultured eukaryote
Lineage: Eukaryota
Description: partial 18S ribosomal RNA
Rfam family: Eukaryotic small subunit ribosomal RNA
Source: RNAcentral
CAAUAUCGUAUAUUAAAGUUGUUGCAGUUAAAAAGCUCGUAGUUGGAUUUCUGGUGGGAGCGAUCGGUCUGGCGCUUAGCGCGAGUACUUGCAUCGUCUCCGGCCAUCCUUGGGGAGAGUCUGUCUGGCAUUAAGUUGUCGGGCAGAGGAUCCUCAUCGUUUACUGUGAAAAAAUUAGAGUGUUCAAAGCAGGCUUAUGCCGUUGAAUAUAUUAGCAUGGAAUAAUAAGAUAGGACUUUGGUACUAUUUUGUUGGUUUGCGCACCAAAGUAAUGAUUAAUAGGGACAGUUGGGGGUAUUCGUAUUCCGUUGUCAGAGGUGAAAUUCUUGGAUUUACGGAAGACGAACUACUGCGAAAGCAUUUACCAAGGAUGUUUUCAUUAA